CGGCUCCACUUGGGCCGCGGGUCUGGGUGUGGCCCUGGGCGUGUGUGACCAGGUCCUGCCUUCGCCGCUGGGGCUGGUCUCCCGCGCCGGGAAGUGGCGGAUGGGGUGCUUUCCUUAGCCGCUUUACGGGGAAAGGUGGAGGCUAGGAGCGCCUUUCGAAGCACUGCCUGAACCUCCCGGGAGUUAGGAGGCUGCUGGUGGAGGAGGGAACAACCGAAGAAGGCUACGGUGUGAUGCGACCGCCAGGGGUGCGGGGUGUCAGGAAGUCCCUAGCUCCCCCGAACGUGACCUCGCUAACAGGACCUGCCCUCUCCUUGAACUCUGCCUUCUGCUUUUGGUACCUUGGGCAUCUGGAUGCGACCUUCCUCUCGCUGCCCCUGACUCUCAGGCUGCUAAUAUGCACGGCGGACGAGAAGGACCAAAGCUGGUCUCUUACCUAUUUUAUUUAUUUGAGAGAAGGAAAACGCAAAGGGAGACCGAAAGGGAGAAGCAGACUGAUGUGGGACUCGAUCCCAGGACCCUGGUUCAUGACCUGAGCCAAAGGCAGAUGCUUAACGGACUGAGCCAUCCAGGCGCCCCUGGUGUAUGAAUUAUAUCACAGUAAAGCUGUUAUGAGAAAGAAAAAAAAAAUUGACGUCUUGUUCACUGUUAAAUUCCCAGUGGCAAACAUACAACCUGGCACAUAUUAGGUACCCAAUAAAUAUUUGUUGAAUU
Molecule: long non-coding RNA, 714 nt
Organism: Lutra lutra (Eurasian river otter)
Lineage: Eukaryota; Metazoa; Chordata; Mammalia; Carnivora; Mustelidae
Exons: 2
Source: RefSeq, a predicted model, not a curated record